Molecule: ribosomal RNA, 468 nt
Filed under: uncultured bacterium
Lineage: Bacteria
Description: partial 16S ribosomal RNA
Rfam family: Bacterial small subunit ribosomal RNA
Source: RNAcentral
GACGAACGCUGGCGGCGUGCCUAACACAUGCAAGUCGAACGGAAAGGUCCGGCCUUUGUGGGGUGCUCGGGUGGCGACCGGGUGAGUAACACGUGAGUACCCUGUCACUCCCUGUGGGAUAACUUCAUGAAACUGGGUCUAAUACCGGAUAGGAGCUCUUGCUGCAUGGUGGGGGCUGGAUAGUUUCGGCGGUUGGGGAUGGACUCGCGGCUCAUCAGGUUGAUGGUGGGGUAGUGGGUUAGCAAGGCCUUGACGGGUAGCCGGCCUGGGAGGGGGACCGGCCACAUUGGGACUGGGAUGCGGCCCAGACUCCAACGGGAGGCAGCAGUGGGGAAGAUUGCACAAGGGGCGGAGGCCUGAUGCAGCAACGCCGCGUGCGGGAUGACGGCCUGCGGGUUGUAAACCGCUGUCGCCUGUGACGAAGCGUGAGUGACGGUACUGGGUAAAGAAGCACCGGCUAACUACGUG